CCUACGGGAGGCAGCAGUGAGGAAUAUUGCUCAAUGGACGAAAGUCUGAAGCAGCGACGCCGCGUGAGGGAUGAAGUCCGUUUGGAUGUAAACCUCUUUUGCAGAAGAAGAAUGUUUCGAUUUCUCGAAAUUGACGGUAUUUUGCGAAUAAGCACCGGCUAACUACGUGCCAGCAGCCGCGGUAAUACGUAGGGUGCGAGCGUUGUCCGGAAUUACUGGGUGUAAAGGGUCCGCAGGCGGGCGAGUAAGUCUGUGGUGAAAUUUUACGGCUUAACCGUAAAAUUGCCACGGAAACUGCUUGCCUUGAGUGUGAAAGAGGAAGAUGGAAUUCAUGGUGUAGCAGUGAAAUGCGUAGAUAUCAUGAAGAACACCGGUAGCGAAGGCGAUCUUCUGGUUCACAACUGACGCUCAGGGACGAAAGCGUGGGGAGCAAACAGGAUUAGAUACCCUGGUAGUCCACGCCCUAAACCAUAGGAUACUCGAUGUCGGAUCGAAAGAUUCGGNGUCUGAGCAAACGCAAUAAGUAUCCCACCUGGGGAAGUACGAUCGCAAAGGUUGAAACUCAAAAGUAUAGUAGGCGUGAGAGUGCCGACGGAGACCGACGACGGAGGAGG
RNAcentral lists this ribosomal RNA (614 nucleotides) under uncultured bacterium. Its description in RNAcentral is "bacterial SSU rRNA". It matches the Rfam family "Bacterial small subunit ribosomal RNA", at positions 338 to 1332 of the family's 1533-position model. The record is from RNAcentral.